This 240-nucleotide unclassified non-coding RNA is filed under the name soil metagenome. RNAcentral describes it as "partial contains 5.8S ribosomal RNA, internal transcribed spacer 2, and large subunit ribosomal RNA". The record is from RNAcentral.
AAGACUAUAGACCUGCGGAGUACCUGCGGAAGGAUCAUUAAAGAGUUUAACUACUCAAACCAUUGUGAACCUUACCUCAACCGUUGCUUCGGCGGGCGGGCCCGGGCCAAGCCCGGCGCCCCCCCGGCCCCUCGCGGGCGCCCGCCGGAGGUUAACCGAACCCUUGAAUUGUAUGGCCUCUCUGAGUCUUCUGUACUGAAUAAGUCAAAACUUUUAACAACGGAUCUCUAGAUCGGAAGA